This 221-nucleotide long non-coding RNA is filed under the name Panax ginseng (ginseng). RNAcentral's name for it is "long non-coding RNA (PGIN_LNC000209)". Lineage: Eukaryota; Viridiplantae; Streptophyta; Magnoliopsida; Apiales; Araliaceae. The record is from RNAcentral.
UAACAUGUUUAUUAUGAUUUCUUUGAGGCUUGAUGAAUAGAUUUUGUUCUAUUUGACUGCUGGAAUCGUAGGCAUGUAGAUAGUUGUAUUUGCAUGUGCAUUGCACAUUUAGUUAUUGCAUUGUGUUUUGUUGCUUGGGGACAAGCAAUUGAUUAAGUUUGGGGGUAUUUGAUGAGUAGGUUUUAUACCUAUGAAUCUGAUAUUAUUAAACUUAAUUAUUG